UACAGGGGGGGCAAGCGUUGUCCGGAAUUACUGGGCGUAAAGGGUGCGUAGGCGGCGCGGUAAGUCGGGUGUGAAAUCUCGGAGCUUAACUCCGAAACUGCAUUCGAUACUGCCGUGCUUGAGGACUGGAGAGGAGACUGGAAUUUACGGUGUAGCGGUGAAAUGCGUAGAUAUCGUAAGGAAGACCAGUGGCGAAGGCGGGUCUCUGGACAGUUCCUGACGCUGAGGCACGAAGGCCAGGGGAGCAAACGGG
This 253-nucleotide ribosomal RNA is filed under the name uncultured bacterium. RNAcentral's name for it is "partial 16S ribosomal RNA". It matches the Rfam family "Bacterial small subunit ribosomal RNA", at positions 524 to 776 of the family's 1533-position model. The record is from RNAcentral.